Molecule: microRNA precursor, 99 nt
Organism: Mandrillus leucophaeus (drill)
Lineage: Eukaryota; Metazoa; Chordata; Mammalia; Primates; Cercopithecidae
Source: Ensembl
GAGGUGGGAGGAUCACUUGAGUCCAGGGCAUCAAGGCUGCAGUGAGCCGUGAUCAUGCCACUGCACUCCAGCCUGAGUGACAGAGCAAGACCCUGUCUC